GGGGCUUUAGCUCAGUGGUAGAGCGCGUGCUUUGCAUGCAUGAGGUCACCGGUUCGAACCCGGUAAGUUCCA
Molecule: transfer RNA, 72 nt
Filed under: Pleodorina starrii
Lineage: Eukaryota; Viridiplantae; Chlorophyta; Chlorophyceae; Chlamydomonadales; Volvocaceae
Description: tRNA-Ala
Rfam family: tRNA
About the family: Transfer RNA (tRNA) molecules are approximately 80 nucleotides in length. Their secondary structure includes four short double-helical elements and three loops (D, anti-codon, and T loops).
Source: RNAcentral